RNAcentral lists this long non-coding RNA (848 nucleotides) under Homo sapiens (human). Its description in RNAcentral is "long non-coding RNA NONHSAT090296.2". Lineage: Eukaryota; Metazoa; Chordata; Mammalia; Primates; Hominidae. The record is from RNAcentral.
UGUCUGACGGCCUUGAAGGUGACGGCCUCCUUGCAGCUGUCGAUGACCCCCAGCACGUCAUAGCGGGGCAAGCCGGACACCCGGACCCCCUGCACCUCCAGAAGCAGCUCCCCUUCGCCCAGCCUCGGGCCCUCGCCGCCGCCGGGAAGCCCCGCUGCCUCGACCGCCGCCACCGCUCCGACGUACGGAAACUCCCCGUGCUCCGCGCCUCCCAGCACCGUCACCCCCAGCUCGCCCUGGGGUCCCCGCUUCACGGUGCAUUCGUGAACCCUGCUAGUCCAGUGGUUCUUCUUCUGGAUCACUUUGGACAUGAUGAGUUACACCCCUCCUCCAAAAAAAUAAAACGAGAGACAGGUGCCCCCCACAGCACGAGCCCCCAAGCCUCCGCUUGUUCAUGGGAGAAACAUCUCUCCCCAAAUCACAAAACAGGAGAGAGAAACUUGGCAGCCUCGCUCCCCUGCACACGCUCGCGCACUCAAGCCAUCAUAAAACAAACUUUCUGGGCUUCCCCGCGAGCCCCGCACAGGCGCCCGCGAGCUUUGUUUGCAUUCCGGUGCCUCUGGGUCCACGUUCCGGCGCCCGCCCGUGCUCUCCCGGACCAGAGUCCACUCUGCGCCGCUCGGGUUAUUUUUUUUUCCUUCCUUCCUUUCUCUCUUGCCUUUUACAAAUGCGGUGCCUCCUCUUUGCCUCCCGCCCGGCUCGCCUCUCCUCGCUGGCAGGCUGUUACUGAGGGUGAGGGAAGCCCUUCCAGCCAGUUGCCGGGAGCCCUGAAGACGCGGUGGCGGGGCGGCGGGGAGCAGGGCGGGAGUGCCCUGGACUCCGCGGAUUCCUUUGGGGCUGGAGGGCCG